This 1026-nucleotide long non-coding RNA is filed under the name Linum usitatissimum (flax). Its description in RNAcentral is "long non-coding RNA (LUSI_LNC002793)". The record is from RNAcentral. Lineage: Eukaryota; Viridiplantae; Streptophyta; Magnoliopsida; Malpighiales; Linaceae.
GGCUUACUUAACAGUUUAGUAAUGCUUAACAGUUUAUUAAGGGUUUAACAAAUUUAGUUAUAGAGUUUAGGGUUUACGAGUUCAGUUGAGGGUUUAAUAGUUUACUAUCAGAAUUCAUAAAGAAGAUAGAUUAUUAAGGGUACUAUUAGAAAGUAGACAGCCUAUUAAGGGGUUAACUUUAACAGUUUAUAAGGGUUUAACAAUUAGGUAGAGAGUUCAUGGGUUAUGAGUUCAAUUGAAGACAGUAUAAACUUGGUUCAGGCUGUUAACAAUCUAAUAUAACACUUCUAAGUUCUAAACAAGUUCUAAAACUCUCAAAUGUUAUACCAUUACACAAUGUAAGCUUACCUCAGCAGUUGUAGAAACAGAUUGUUGUCUUGCCUCCUGAACAACGAUUUCAAAGUUCCACCCUGCCUCCUAAUUAGCACCAACUGUGUGACUUCCUCCUAAGCAGAAACAUACAUUUUAUUAUAAUACUGUACUUACAACAUUGCUAUGAAUCAAAGGAAAAACAACCACAAACCCUAUACUUAAACGUACCUAAACAGCGGAAUGAAACCAAUUUUGGCCCUGAUUCUAUAACUCUCUAGUCCAGAGCAGUAAUCUGAAACAUAUAACACUAAAAAUCAGUUUUUUCACAUAAUAACAGCCACAAAACAUUCAAAGAGCCACAAAAGCCACAAACACAUUCAAAGAGUAGGCAUAAGCCACAAACUUUCAAAAAGCAUACAUAAGACCACAAAAUAUUCAAAGAGCCAUAAAAGCCACAAACACAUUCAAAGAGUAGGCAUAAGCCACAAACUUUCAAAAAGCAGACAUAAGCCACAAAAGAUUCAAACAGCAGGCAUAAUCCACAAAACAUUCAAAGGGUUUUCGGAAUUGGAGAACAUAACUAUGAAAUUAAUAAGAUAACUUACUAGUAUGAAAUGAAUCGGAAGGCAAAAUCCCAAAUUUGAUAAAUUAGGGUUUCUGUCUUCUGGAUUUUGUUCGACGAACUGCAUAUGAAGCAAUAAACCCAAAAAUUAG